CCAAAAGCUGGCGACCGGCGCACGGGUGAGUAACACGUAUCCAACCUGCCGAUAACUCGGGGAUAGCCUUUCGAAAGAAAGAUUAAUACCCGAUGGCAUAAUUAGACCGCAUGGUCUUAUUAUUAAAGAAUUUCGGUUAUCGAUGGGGAUGCGUUCCAUUAGGCAGUUGGUGAGGUAACGGCUCACCAAACCUUCGAUGGAUAGGGGUUCUGAGAGGAAGGUCCCCCACAUUGGAACUGAGACACGGUCCAA
RNAcentral lists this ribosomal RNA (252 nucleotides) under uncultured bacterium. RNAcentral's name for it is "partial 16S ribosomal RNA". It matches the Rfam family "Bacterial small subunit ribosomal RNA", at positions 80 to 334 of the family's 1533-position model. The record is from RNAcentral.